This 26-nucleotide non-coding RNA is filed under the name Mus musculus (house mouse). The record is from RNAcentral. Lineage: Eukaryota; Metazoa; Chordata; Mammalia; Rodentia; Muridae.
UCUCCAUCCUUGGUCAUUUGCUGCUU